GCAUAAGCCCUAUCUCCAUCUUCAAUCUUCUCAAAAGAAAAGUUAUUUUCUUUUGUCCUUCAUCUUUAUGCAUAGGCCCUAUCUCCAUCUUCAAUCUUCUUCAGCUGUUGCCUACACCAGCUCGCCGUCAGCCACACUUUAUUGUGACUGUUAGUCAUACACUAUCGCUUGUUGUCUUGCAUCGUUCGUUUAGAUCCGUCACCAAGCUGUGCCUACCUUGCAAUUUUGGAACUGAGCCUAGCUGAGCAUUUAAUGGGUUGCGUCGUGUCGCUCGCAUCCACCGUUCAGAGUCACACUGCCCUCUGUCGCUGCUGGCCUUGUCGAAACUGUGGAUUGAGGUCGUUUUUAGUUUUUCGAUGAGUUUCAUGGGUUUUAUUGAAUUUCUUUUAUAACUCUUUAAGUGUAAACCCUGGAAAUAAAAAAUUCCUAAGUCAUUUAAGGAACUCAAGAGAAGAUUAAAGAUUGAGGUUAGUUGGAGAAUUUUAUUAGGAUUUGAUGGUUAAGAUCAAGUGUUAGGAAAGUUGGGUCAUUGUUUUUAAGAUGACAAAAGAAAAGGGUUAGCGUAGCUAAAGUGUGCCUAAGGAAUGUUUAAAUUUUGGCUAAGUAUUGGCUAGGCAUGUAGCAUACUCUAGGUAGCCAAGAGAUCAGUUAAGAGAACCUCUAAGGGUAAAGGAUUGAACGGUCAAAAGGUUAAGGUGUUGUGUGGGAGAGGUGUCAAGAAAACCUCUAUAGGACAAGGCUAGGCAGCCAAAAGCAUGUCAAAAGAACAUUUAAGGAUAAAGUUUUGUCAGGCGUUUAGGUUAGCAUGUAUACUACACUAGCAAGCUAGGUGUUUAGGAAAUGUCAAGAACCUCUAAAAUGGUUAGCAUGUGGCCUUAGGCAUUGUGACCAAGAAGCGCCAUGCGACAAUAGGCCAUGCAAUAAGGAGGGAUGUCAUGCCACUAAGGUGCCAUGCGACCAAGGGAGUGCCUUACGACCAAAGGCCAUGUUGACAAAGGUCAUUAGACCAAAGGCAAUUUGAUCAAAGGUUAGUAUUUGGUAACCUGUUUUUUUGUUGAAAGCAUUGUGAGAUGUUUGAGUGGUUAGGUGAACAAAAGGUCUUAUCCAUUCUAGGCAGCAAGAAUUUACUAAAGUUCCCUCAAGGAAAAGGGGGUAGGCAUCCAAGUACGAACCAACCACUAUGAGGUAAGAUAUGAGGUGGAAUAGAAAUGGAAAAAAUGUAAGGCCCUGAUUGCAUUCUUCCCUACACGAUGAGAUUUCACAUGUUUUCGUUCUAGCUACACGACGAAGACUAGGCAGUGAAUUGCUAUGCAUUUUGAGCAUCCUUCAUCGAGAAUUAGUGACAUCAUCCAUGUAUAAGAAAACUAAGGAUUGGUUUAACUUUUUCGCCUAAUCAAAAUUUAGGAUAAGAAAAUGACAGUGGCACUUGAUGUUCUGGCAUUAGUCGAUUCUCACUGCUGAGCAGAAGUCAUCAUUGCUGCAUGGGAAGUUUCACAAGAGAGGCUUAUAAAUAGAUGAAGGAUGCCUCAUACUUGCUAUGUGAUUUACAUGAGAUACCUUUUUCUUGCUGCAUGAUCUGACAUUGGAAGUCGCGUUAUGCAUUAUGGAAUAGACAAAAAACUUGCUGAAUGUGUUGAGAUUACUCCAAAUAGCUGUAACUCAACAAAAGAGUGUGGUAAACACUCGAGUUGGAAAAAGGUAGCGAAGGACAUCUCACGUUCAACUUGCAGCCUUAAUCACCUAUUGUACCUACGUGAAGGCAUCAACUUGGUAGUGAUCAUUAUCAACUUGCAUAACAUGUCAAAGUUAGGCGCGAAGAGUCAAAAUGUUGUCAUGAGUUAGUAUUUAGUUUCUUUUGAAGGAACAUUGUACUAAAGAUCAAAUGUACUCUAUUAUGGAACAUCAAUGAAGUCUUAUAAUUGAGUUCUCA
This is a long non-coding RNA of Cucumis melo (muskmelon), 1930 nucleotides long. RefSeq lists it as uncharacterized. The record is from RefSeq and is a predicted model, not a curated record. NCBI's taxonomy places the organism in Eukaryota, Viridiplantae, Streptophyta, Magnoliopsida, Cucurbitales, Cucurbitaceae. The transcript is spliced from 3 exons.